Molecule: ribosomal RNA, 254 nt
Filed under: uncultured bacterium
Lineage: Bacteria
Description: partial 16S ribosomal RNA
Rfam family: Bacterial small subunit ribosomal RNA
Source: RNAcentral
UACGAAGGGGGCUAGCGUUGCUCGGAAUCACUGGGCGUAAAGCGCACGUAGGCGGAUCUUUAAGUCAGGGGGUGAAAUCCCAAGGCUCAACCUUGGAACUGCCUUUGAUACUGGGGAUCUCGAGUCCGGAAGAGGUUGGUGGAACUGCGAGUGUAGAGGUGAAAUUCGUAGAUAUUCGCAAGAACACCAGUGGCGAAGGCGGCCAACUGGUCCGGUACUGACGCUGAGGUGCGAAAGCGUGGGGAGCAAACAGG